This 85-nucleotide transfer RNA is filed under the name Sandaracinus sp. RNAcentral describes it as "tRNA-Ser". It matches the Rfam family "tRNA". Rfam says of the family: Transfer RNA (tRNA) molecules are approximately 80 nucleotides in length. Their secondary structure includes four short double-helical elements and three loops (D, anti-codon, and T loops). Lineage: Bacteria; Pseudomonadati; Myxococcota; Polyangiales; Sandaracinaceae. The record is from RNAcentral.
GGAGGAGUGGCCGAGCGGUCGAAGGCGGCGGUCUUGAAAACCGCAGGUCCGAGAGGACCCAGGGGUUCGAAUCCCUUCUCCUCCG